RNAcentral lists this small nuclear RNA (107 nucleotides) under Chinchilla lanigera (long-tailed chinchilla). The record is from RNAcentral. Lineage: Eukaryota; Metazoa; Chordata; Mammalia; Rodentia; Chinchillidae.
GUGCUGGAUUUGGUAGUAUAUAUACUAAGGCUGGAAUGAUACAGGGAAAAUUAGUAUAACCUUUGUAUAAGAAUGACACACAUAUUUGUGAAGUGCUUCAUAUUUUC